Molecule: ribosomal RNA, 585 nt
Filed under: Penicillium chrysogenum
Lineage: Eukaryota; Fungi; Ascomycota; Eurotiomycetes; Eurotiales; Aspergillaceae
Description: eukaryotic LSU rRNA
Rfam family: 5.8S ribosomal RNA (bases 210-362)
Source: RNAcentral
UUCUCGUAGGGGGGACCUGCGGAAGGAUCAUUACCGAGUGAGGGCCCUCUGGGUCCAACCUCCCACCCGUGUUUAUUUUACCUUGUUGCUUCGGCGGGCCCGCCUUAACUGGCCGCCGGGGGGCUUACGCCCCCGGGCCCGCGCCCGCCGAAGACACCCUCGAACUCUGUCUGAAGAUUGUAGUCUGAGUGAAAAUAUAAAUUAUUUAAAACUUUCAACAACGGAUCUCUUGGUUCCGGCAUCGAUGAAGAACGCAGCGAAAUGCGAUACGUAAUGUGAAUUGCAAAUUCAGUGAAUCAUCGAGUCUUUGAACGCACAUUGCGCCCCCUGGUAUUCCGGGGGGCAUGCCUGUCCGAGCGUCAUUGCUGCCCUCAAGCACGGCUUGUGUGUUGGGCCCCGUCCUCCGAUCCCGGGGGACGGGCCCGAAAGGCAGCGGCGGCACCGCGUCCGGUCCUCGAGCGUAUGGGGCUUUGUCACCCGCUCUGUAGGCCCGGCCGGCGCUUGCCGAUCAACCCAAAUUUUUAUCCAGGUUGACCUCGGAUCAGGUAGGGAUACCCGCUGAACUUAAGCAUAUCAAUAAAACGA